ACAGCUUAAUAAUGUUGUUUUUUCACUCAGGAAUGGACCAGAGCGUUGUGUGAGAAGGAUUCCGAUGGUGACGGAUUGACCAAUGGUCAAGAACUGGGUGACCCCAACUGUACCUGGUCCCAGGGAACGACUAACGCCACGGGUUCACCGCUAUCCCACCCAGGUGUGUGUGACCCAUGGAACGACCCCAAGUGUCUGGCCAGAGACGAGAGCUGGGUACUGCCGGCCUGUCAGGAUUCGGGCUUCACCUGCAGCGGUAUCAAUGACGUCAACGUGAGAAGAUUGGAUCUGAAGUUACCCCAGACUUCUGUGCCUGCAGCAGAAACUACCUAUAUGUGUCAGAUCUUCUCCAUCCCCAACGACACGGACUACCACAUCAUUGCCAGCCAGCCCCUCAUCGACAACGUCAACAUCAUGCACCACGCCGUCGUCUUCGGCUGCA
Haliotis rubra (blacklip abalone) is the source of this 442-nucleotide long non-coding RNA. RefSeq lists it as uncharacterized. The transcript has 3 exons. The record is from RefSeq and is a predicted model, not a curated record. Lineage: Eukaryota; Metazoa; Mollusca; Gastropoda; Lepetellida; Haliotidae.